AAGGGCGCGUAGGCGGCGUUUUAAGUCGGGGGUGAAAGCCUGUGGCUCAACCACAGAAUGGCCUUCGAUACUGGGACGCUUGAGUAUGGUAGAGGUUGGUGGAACUGCGAGUGUAGAGGUGAAAUUCGUAGAUAUUCGCAAGAACACCGGUGGCGAAGGCGGCCAACUGGACCAUUACUGACGCUGAGGCGCGAAAGCGUGGGGAGCAAACAAGGAUUAGAUACCCCAGU
Molecule: ribosomal RNA, 230 nt
Filed under: uncultured bacterium
Lineage: Bacteria
Description: partial 16S ribosomal RNA
Rfam family: Bacterial small subunit ribosomal RNA
Source: RNAcentral